GAGGGUAUAGCUCAAUGGUAGAGUGCAUGCAUGUAUGAGGUCCUGGGCUCAAUUCCCAGUACCUCCA
This 67-nucleotide transfer RNA is filed under the name Camelus bactrianus (Bactrian camel). It matches the Rfam family "tRNA". From Rfam's summary of the family: Transfer RNA (tRNA) molecules are approximately 80 nucleotides in length. Their secondary structure includes four short double-helical elements and three loops (D, anti-codon, and T loops). Further hydrogen bonds mediate the characteristic L-shaped molecular structure. tRNAs have two regions of fundamental functional importance: the anti-codon, which is responsible for specific mRNA codon recognition, and the 3' end, to which the tRNAs corresponding amino acid is attached (by aminoacyl-tRNA synthetases). tRNAs cope with the degeneracy of the genetic code in two manners: having more than one tRNA (with a specific anti-codon) for a particular amino acid; and 'wobble' base-pairing, i.e. permitting non-standard base-pairing at the 3rd anti-codon position. The record is from Rfam by way of RNAcentral. Lineage: Eukaryota; Metazoa; Chordata; Mammalia; Artiodactyla; Camelidae. RNAcentral also lists the same sequence under 2 other names.